Gorilla gorilla gorilla (western lowland gorilla) is the source of this 120-nucleotide non-coding RNA. RefSeq annotates it as microRNA mir-519e. The transcript has a single exon. The record is from RefSeq and is marked provisional. Lineage: Eukaryota; Metazoa; Chordata; Mammalia; Primates; Hominidae.
UUUGGAGCGAGAAGAUCUCAUGCAGUCAUUCUCCAAAAGGGAGCACUUUCUGUUGUCUGAAAGAAAACAAAGUGCCUCCUUUUAGAGUGUUACUGUUUGAGAAAAACCACCUUGAAGUUG